Molecule: ribosomal RNA, 977 nt
Filed under: Corynebacterium sp. oral taxon B00
Lineage: Bacteria; Bacillati; Actinomycetota; Actinomycetes; Mycobacteriales; Corynebacteriaceae
Description: bacterial SSU rRNA
Rfam family: Bacterial small subunit ribosomal RNA
Source: RNAcentral
GACGAACGCUGGCGGCGUGCUUAACACAUGCAAGUCGAACGGAAAGGCCCCCACCUUGGUGGGGGUGCUCGAGUGGCGAACGGGUGAGUAACACGUGGGUGAUCUGCCCUGCACUUCGGGAUAAGCUUGGGAAACUGGGUCUAAUACCGGAUAGGACCAUGGUUUAGUGUCUCACGGUGGAAAAAUUAUUGUUUUGGUGCAGGAUGAGCUCGCGGCCUAUCAGCUUGUUGGUGGGGUAAUGGCCUACCAAGGCGUCGACGGGUAGCCGGCCUGAGAGGGUGGACGGCCACAUUGGGACUGAGAUACGGCCCAGACUCCUACGGGAGGCAGCAGUGGGGAAUAUUGCACAAUGGGCGCAAGCCUGAUGCAGCGACGCCGCGUGGGGGAUGACGGCCUUCGGGUUGUAAACUCCUUUCGUUAGGGACGAAGCCACACCUUUUUUUGGGUGUGGUGACGGUACCUUUGUUAAGAAGCACCGGCUAACUACGUGCCAGCAGCCGCGGUAAUACGUAGGGUGCGAGCGUUGUCCGGAAUUACUGGGCGUAAAGAGCUCGUAGGUGGUUUGUUGCGUCGUCUGUGAAAUUCCGGGGCUUAACUUCGGGGUGGCAGGCGAUACGGGCAUAACUAGAGUGCUGUAGGGGAGACUGGAAUUCCUGGUGUAGCGGUGGAAUGCGCAGAUAUCAGGAGGAACACCGAUGGCGAAGGCAGGUCUCUGGGCAGUAACUGACGCUGAGGAGCGAAAGCAUGGGGAGCGAACAGGAUUAGAUACCCUGGUAGUCCAUGCUGUAAACGGUGGGCGUGAGGUGUGGGGACCGGUUUGGUUUCUGUGCCGUAGCUAACGCAUUAAGCGCCCCGCCUGGGGAGUACGGCCGCAAGGCUAAAACUCGAAGGAAUUGACGGGGGCCCGCACAAGCGGCGGAGCAUGUGGAGAAUGCGAUGCAACGCGAAGAACCUUACCUGGGUUUGACAUGCACCAG